RNAcentral lists this ribosomal RNA (519 nucleotides) under uncultured Neisseria sp. RNAcentral's name for it is "bacterial SSU rRNA". It matches the Rfam family "Bacterial small subunit ribosomal RNA", at positions 8 to 516 of the family's 1533-position model. The record is from RNAcentral. Lineage: Bacteria; Pseudomonadati; Pseudomonadota; Betaproteobacteria; Neisseriales; Neisseriaceae.
AGAGUUUGAUCAUGGCUCAGAUUGAGCGCUGGCGGCAUGCUUUACACAUGCAAGUCGGACGGCAGCACAGAGAAGCUUGCUUCUUGGGUGGCGAGUGGCGAACGGGUGAGUAACAUAUCGGAACGUACCGAGCAGUGGGGGAUAACUAAUCGAAAGAUUAGCUAAUACCGCAUAUUUUCUGAGGAAGAAAGCAGGGGACCAUUUGGCCUUGCGCUGUUUGAGCGGCCGAUAUCUGAUUAGCUAGUUGGUGGGGUAAAGGCCUACCAAGGCGACGAUCAGUAGCGGGUCUGAGAGGAUGAUCCGCCACACUGGGACUGAGACACGGCCCAGACUCCUACGGGAGGCAGCAGUGGGGAAUUUUGGACAAUGGGCGCAAGCCUGAUCCAGCCAUGCCGCGUGUCUGAAGAAGGCCUUCGGGUUGUAAAGGACUUUUGUCAGGGAAGAAAAGGGCGGGGUUAAUACCCCUGUCUGAUGACGGUACCUGAAGAAUAAGCACAGGCUAACUACGUGCCAGCAGCC